This 513-nucleotide ribosomal RNA is filed under the name uncultured bacterium. RNAcentral's name for it is "bacterial SSU rRNA". It matches the Rfam family "Bacterial small subunit ribosomal RNA", at positions 994 to 1498 of the family's 1533-position model. The record is from RNAcentral.
AAUUUCCUGGAAACAGGAAAGUUGCUUCAUUAGAGGAGCCUGGGGGACAGGUGCUGCAUGGGCUGUCGUCAGCUCGUGUCGUGAGAUGUUGGGUUAAGUCCCGGCAACGAGCGGCAACCCUUGCCUUUAGUUGCCAUCAUUUAGUUGGGCACUCUAGAGGGACUGCCGGUGUCAAACCGGAGGAAGGUGGGGAUGACGUCAAGUCCUCAUGGCCUUUAUGACCAGGGCUACACACGUACUACAAUGGCAUGUACAAAGGGCAGCCACAGGGCGACCUGGAGCGAAUCCUCAAAACAUGUCUCAGUCCGGAUUGGAGUCUGCAACUCGACUCCAUGAAGUUGGAAUCGCUAGUAAUCGUAGAUCAGCAUGCUACGGUGAAUACGUUCCCGGGCCUUGUACACACCGCCCGUCACACCACGGGAGUUGGUUGUACCAGAAGUAGUUGAGCGAACUUUUCGGAGACGCAGGCUACCAAGGUAUGGUCGGUAACUGGGGUGAAGUCGUAACAAGGUA